Molecule: long non-coding RNA, 1098 nt
Filed under: Oryzias javanicus (javanese ricefish)
Lineage: Eukaryota; Metazoa; Chordata; Actinopteri; Beloniformes; Adrianichthyidae
Description: lncRNA (ENSOJAG00000007048.1)
Source: RNAcentral
AUGAGAAACACCUGUGUAGGAGGGCGUGGCUCCAAACAGAGCAGGGAGGCUUUUCCUUCAUUCAGGGAGAAACCAGCGAGGAGGAGUGCGAACGCUGAGAGUCCAACGUGUGGGGCUGGACGCUUGGGCACAGCCGGUGGAGCGCGAGGACUGGGGAGAGCUGGAGACGCACCCCAAACCGACGUUCGGGAGACGCAGAGCGGGUCCGAUUCGAGGCGUUGGCCAGCCGAACACCGGCGGGAGGAAGACGUGAGGAGGGAGGCGCCUCAUCCACAGCCGUGUUCUUUCGUACACCGCCGCUUGGAGACGCAGAGGGGUGAACGGGCUUCACCCCUCCCAAAGAGAGAUGAGGUGGGAUUUGAGGAUGGCGAUUCCAUCCUACGAGACCAGUUUGUCAUGGGAUUAAGAGACAGUUCUCUUCGCCAAGAACUACGGCGCCUGGUGAGGAAGACUCCUGCAUUAUCCUUUGACGAAGUCAAGAUGGAAGCGCUCGCACUGGAGCAGGAACAAGCUGAACUGUGGACACCUUCUUCCUGCUUGGCAGUAGAAAAGCAGGAUAACAGAACAACCAGAGACACUCGAAGGAGGCCAGAGCCUAGAUGGAGGUCAGAUAAUGGAGCUAGAGGUGUUAGGGGUGCCCCAAGGUACGAGUGGGAUCAACAGGGUCGCCCAAUCUGUGCUACCUGUAAAGAACCGGGACAUUAUAGUCGGAGCUGCCACACUAGAGUCCCCCAUCAGGAUUUUUAGUCCCUCCGGCCACUGUGGGUCAGGUGACCGGGCGCCCCUACAGUGACCCACCUAGUUCCCCACCCUCAGCAAGGUUUACAGAAAGUUGCCCCUAUGUCACAGUAAAAGUAGAUGAUAAAGAAUUUCGAUGUCUGUUAGACACUGGGUCACAAGUAACACUGUUUAGUGAAAGCCUGUGUAAAGACCUCUUUGAAGAGAAGCAUUUAGAUGGAGUCUUGCCUUGGCUUAAGCUUCGAGCUGCCAAUGGACUGAGCAUUCCUUAUAAAGGCUACAUUGUAGUUGACUUCCAGGUGGGGGGCGUUAGGGUCCCAAAUUGCGGGGUUGUGGUGGUAGAGGACACCUAUUUGGGUG